UCGUCUCAAAGAAAUGAACUGCUCCUCUUUCAUCCUAGAAUCCAUAUUACUUUGCAAACCGACCAGCAAGUGCUGCUAUUGUCACUGAAAAGAAAAAUGAGUAUACUAAGAACCUUCUCAAACAAAUAGAUGCCAAUAGUAAACUGGCCAAGAAAAAGAAAGAAAAUCAGAAAGUCUUGGAGCAACUAGAACGGCUGCAACUCAAACAAGAGAUUGAUGAACAAAAAGCUGAACUGAAGAAACAUCAAUUUGAGGAGAGAGAAAUGUAUAAGAAAGCACUGGAAUACCAGCUGAAACACAGGCCUUCCAGACUGCCCAUCUACGAGUCCAUGGGCACCUUCACAAACUUUGGGCAGAAUGAAGAGACCCUGGAGGCCGAGAAGCGGCAGAGAAAUAUUGAAUAUAUGAAGCAGCAGGUGGAAACCGCUCUAGGCCACAGAAGACAGCGUGUCCUCAACCAAAUAAAAAAUCUGCAACAAGAAAAAAAAAUGCUUCAGAAAAAACAAGAAAAGUAAGGGGCCUGGCCCUUCCUUCCUCACCAUAACCCUCUCCUCCUUUCUCUCCCUCUCCUCCCCCACCCCUUGACACCAACCUUAGUAGAAACAUGUGUGGACACGUGGAGAGUCAUGACUGACCCUAGCUUGCCCCAGCCUGCUUCUCAUCUCUACUCCCCAGUCAACUUCUGAGGCUGUUGCAUGUCACAAACCACCUUAU
Long non-coding RNA from Erinaceus europaeus (western European hedgehog), 714 nucleotides. RefSeq lists it as uncharacterized. The record is from RefSeq and is a predicted model, not a curated record. Lineage: Eukaryota; Metazoa; Chordata; Mammalia; Eulipotyphla; Erinaceidae. The transcript has 3 exons.